Molecule: ribosomal RNA, 253 nt
Filed under: uncultured bacterium
Lineage: Bacteria
Description: partial 16S ribosomal RNA
Rfam family: Bacterial small subunit ribosomal RNA
Source: RNAcentral
UGCGUAGGUGGCAAGCGUUGUCCGGAUUUAUUGGGCGUAAAGCGCCCGCAGGCGGCUCGUCGCGUCAGCUGUGAAAUUCCGUGGCUUAACUGCGGGCUUGCAGCUGAUACUGUGCGACUAGAGUGCAGAAGGGGCAACUGGAAUUCUCGGUGUAGCGGUGAAAUGCGUAGAUAUCGAGAGGAACACCUGCGGCGAAGGCGGGUUGCUGGGCUGACACUGACGCUGAUGCGCGAAAGCCAGGGGAGCGAACGGG